Molecule: ribosomal RNA, 696 nt
Filed under: uncultured bacterium
Lineage: Bacteria
Description: bacterial SSU rRNA
Rfam family: Bacterial small subunit ribosomal RNA
Source: RNAcentral
CGAAGAACUAGUGCUUGCACUAGUGGAUUAGUGGCGGACGGGUGAGUAACGCGUGGGAAUCUGCCCAGAAGUGGGGGACAGCCCAGAGAAAUCCGGAUUAAUACCGCAUACCUUCUACGGAAGAAAGGCUUCGGCCGCUUUUGGAUGAGCCCGCGUUAGAUUAGCUAGUUGGUGGGGUAAAGGCCUACCAAGGCAACGAUCUAUAGCUGGUCUGAGAGGACGAUCAGCCACAUCGGGACUGAGACACGGCCCGGACUCCUACGGGAGGCAGCAGNGGGGAAUAUUGGACAAUGGACGCAAGUCUGAUCCAGCAAUGCCGCGUGUGUGAAGAAGGCCCGAGGGUUGUAAAGCACUUUCAGUUGGGAAGAUAAUGACGUUACCAACAGAAGAAGCACCGGCUAACUCCGUGCCAGCAGCCGCGGUAAUACGGAGGGUGCAAGCGUUAAUCGGAAUUACUGGGCGUAAAGCGCGCGUAGGCGGUUAUUUAAGUCAGAUGUGAAAUCCCUGGGCUCAACCUAGGAACUGCAUCUGAUACUGGAUAACUAGAGUUUUGGAGAGGUAAGUGGAAUUUCCGGUGUAGCCGGUGAAAUGCAUAGAGAUCGGAAGGAACACCAGUGGCGAAGGCGACUUACUGGCCAAAAACUGACGCUGAGGUGCGAAAGCGUGGGUAGCGAACAGGAUUAGAUACCCUGGUAG